UCCGGUUUGACACCGGCAGUCUCGCUAGAGUACUAGCUUGCGCUGAGCAACUAACGAUAGGGGUUGCGCUCGUUAGAGGACUUAACCCGACGCUUCACAGCACGAGCUGACGACAGCCAUGCAGCACCUGUGACCGUUGUACCCUUGCGGGCCUACACCUACUUUCAUAGGUUUAAUCCGGCCAUGUCAAGCCCAGGUAAGGUUCUUCGCGUUGCCUCGAAUUAAGCAACAUGCUCCACCGCUUGUGUGAGCCCCCGUCAAUUCAUUUGAGUUUUAGCCUUGCGACCGUACUCCCCAGGCGGUAUGCUUAUCGUUUUCACGUCGACCGAUACGGCGUCAAAACCGCACCGAUCUAGCAUACAUCGUUUACGGCGUGGACUAC
This 382-nucleotide unclassified non-coding RNA is filed under the name uncultured Phycisphaeraceae bacterium. Its description in RNAcentral is "contains 16S-23S intergenic spacer region". The record is from RNAcentral. Lineage: Bacteria; Pseudomonadati; Planctomycetota; Phycisphaerae; Phycisphaerales; Phycisphaeraceae.